Molecule: unclassified non-coding RNA, 544 nt
Filed under: Hevea brasiliensis (rubber tree)
Lineage: Eukaryota; Viridiplantae; Streptophyta; Magnoliopsida; Malpighiales; Euphorbiaceae
Source: RNAcentral
UUCUUCUCCCCUCUCCGCCGUUAUGGCAGACCCUAACCCAUUCCUUCCUAUCUCCCAACCACUACACCCCACCGACACCUCUCUCCCAGAUGGCUCCCACCGCCCCCCCUCCAAGAAACUCCUCUUGGGGGUCUUUUCUGGUUUGUUCCUGGUUUUCUUGUUUCUCGCUUUAAUUAAUGAUCAGAAGGGGUCUCAGCAGAGCAUCCAUUCACAGGAAGAUGAAAAUGUAGCAUCAUUGGCUUCGUCGAAAGAAUCUGCGAAACCGGAGAUUUUGAGGCCUAUCUCCCGUGGCGUCUCGGCCGGUGUGUCUGAGAAAGCCAGCCUGAUAUCUAGCGGAUCGGAAUCGUCGACGGAUCAGUAUCCAUGGAACAACAGCAUGUUAUCAUGGCAAAGAACUGCUUUCCACUUCCAACCUGAAAAGAACUGGAUGAAUGAUCCUAAUGGUCCAUUGUAUUACAAGGGCUGGUACCAUUUCUUCUACCAGUACAAUCCACAUGCUGCGGUAUGGGGUGACAUAGUGUGGGGCCAUGCUGUAUCAAGGGAC